ACGAGCCUGUGAGGGGGGAGCAAAUCCCAGAAAUAACGUCCCAGUUCGGAUUGCAGUCUGCAACUCGACUGCAUGAAGCUGGAAUCGCUAGUAAUCGCGAAUCAGCAUGUCGCGGUGAAUACGUUCCCGGGUCUUGUACACACCGCCCGUCACACCAUGGGAGUCGGAAAUGCCCGAAGCCAGUGACCCAACCUUUAAGGAGGGAGCUGUCGAAGGCAGGUCUGGUAACUGGGGUGAAGUCGUAACAAGGUACC
Molecule: ribosomal RNA, 254 nt
Filed under: uncultured bacterium
Lineage: Bacteria
Description: partial 16S ribosomal RNA
Rfam family: Bacterial small subunit ribosomal RNA
Source: RNAcentral